This 1688-nucleotide long non-coding RNA is filed under the name Phoenix dactylifera (date palm). Its description in RNAcentral is "long non-coding RNA (PDAC_LNC006833)". Lineage: Eukaryota; Viridiplantae; Streptophyta; Magnoliopsida; Arecales; Arecaceae. The record is from RNAcentral.
AGAAACCAAAUUUGACAAUGUCUUAGGAAAGACUAACAACAUAAUAGUGAUUGCAUGCCCAUUUAAGGUGCUUUUAGUUGGAAGUAUGUGACCCACCAUGUAUUAUGUGCAGGCUAGUGCACUAAUAGUGACAUGUAAAUGACAAGAUUUCACAUUUUUUUUAAAAAGAAAUUGCAUGCCCAUUUAAGGCGUUUUUAGUGGGAAGUAUGUGACCCACCAUGUAUUAUGUGCAGGCUAGUGCACUAAUCUUAGAAGUAUGCUUCAUGGCAUCUCUACAAGUGUAUUCCUUUAUCAUCUUUCACCAUUUAAUGGGUCAUUAAAUGUCUGAUUCUACUUCAUAAUAGAGAUAUUUACCCACCUUACAACUUAUGAUAAACAUAACAAUUUCACUGAAAUGAUGAGCAAUCACUACUGAUAUUAAUAGAAUAGAUAAUUGUCAUGAGUAAUAAAGUAGACAUGAUAGUAGCAGCUAUAGUGAAAAGAACGAUAAAAACAGAAAACUGACAAAGCACAAAAAGGUAUAAGCCUGGAGAUUAUUAGGAAAAUACAAUAAAUGGAAGAGUUAGUUUGACAACUUGUUAAAUGAAAGUUACAAAUGGUUGGAGGAAUCUCAUAUGAAUAAGGGUGUUGAUAGGUCAGGUUGGGUUUGGUUGGAGGAAUCUCAUAUGAAUAAGGGUGUUGAUAGGCCAGGUUGGGUUGGGUCAGUAACGUAUAACAAAUCCAUAUGGGUCUCUCCCAAACCCAUUGGUCAGGAAUGCCUGACUUGAACCUGCCUGGAUGACCAAUGUAACAACCAGGCCCAUUUAAUUUCUGGGGUUCCUAUUUUUAGCAGAAAAAUGUAUAAAUUUGGACUGUUCAUUUUAGACAUUUUUGUACUUUUUUGUGCUGCAUCUUGGGCAAUAACUAAGAAUGACUUGCAGUAGGAUUCCUUUUCCAUAUUUUAAGGCUUGUAUCAAGAUGCAAUUGAUGCUCAAAAAACUAAGAAUUAGGGUGCCCAAUAGAAGUUAGCUUAGAUUUUGAGAAUCCUGUUAGAUUCAAAGUGGGAAAUCGUUAGGUGGCCAGCUGGAGGGUAUCAGUCACUGAUUACUGAGAUUUAUUUCCAAUUUACAGAGUCCUAGUUAAGAUGGAAAAGGAAACUAGUUAGUCUGUAAAUAAGGCCUCCUGGCCACUGAUGCUGGUGAAUAUUGAUACUGUAUGUGAGUUAUUUUGAGUGGAAUAACAGGCUUCAGGAUGGCCCCCCAUCCCCCCAAUCUUAUAUUGAUAUUUGUUCCUCUAUUCUCCUUCUUCUUUUGUUCUAUCUUCUAUCUGCAUCUUUUUCUCUUAUCCAUCUACUCUUCUCUAGUCUUUCUAAAUUUUUUUUCCUUAAUCCUCUUUCUAUCUUCCCUUUGCUGCUCUAAAUAUAUUUCCACAACCGGUAGCAGCGAACCUCUGAAAUAUCAAGCAAACUAUUGCUGUUUUAACAGCUAUAAAGUAGAUCCUGAAGAAAACUAGUGCAACUUUCCUUUUUGCAAGAGUUCAGGCUACAUCAUCUCCAUCUCAAGAGACAUCUUCAAGCACUUGGAUACAUCCAUCCCACCUUCUAAAGGGACCCAUUUGAAACUCUGAAGUAGAUAAGCUAGCCAAAGAGAAGCUAAACCAAUGACUUAUGGAGAGGAGUGGCAAUGGCCAGUGGAGAGGUGGGAGGGAGG